RNAcentral lists this ribosomal RNA (477 nucleotides) under uncultured anaerobic ammonium-oxidizing bacterium. Its description in RNAcentral is "bacterial SSU rRNA". It matches the Rfam family "Bacterial small subunit ribosomal RNA", at positions 365 to 832 of the family's 1533-position model. RNAcentral also lists the same sequence under 1 other name. The record is from RNAcentral.
UUCGCAAUGCCCGAAAGGGUGACGAAGCGACGCCGCGUGUGGGAAGAAGGCCUUCGGGUUGUAAACCACUGUCGGGAGUUAAGAAAUGCAAGGGUAUAAAUAGUAUCCUUGCUUGACUAAGGCUCCGGAGGAAGCCACGGCUAACUCUGUGCCAGCAGCCGCGGUAAUACAGAGGCGGCAAGCGUUGUUCGGAAUUAUUGGGCGUAAAGAGCACGUAGGCGGCUGUGUAAGUCGGUUGUGAAAGCCUUCCGCUUAACGGAAGAACAGCAGCCGAUACUGCAUGGCUUGAGUGCGGGAGGGGAGAGUGGAACUUCUGGUGGAGCGGUGAAAUGCGUAGAUAUCAGAAGGAACGCCGGCGGCGAAAGCGACUCUCUAGACCGUGACUGACGCUGAGUGUGCGAAAGCUAGGGGAGCAAACGGGAUUAGAUACCCCGGUAGUCCUAGCCGUAAACGAUGGGCACUAAGUAGAGGGGUUUU